RNAcentral lists this ribosomal RNA (452 nucleotides) under uncultured bacterium. RNAcentral's name for it is "bacterial SSU rRNA". It matches the Rfam family "Bacterial small subunit ribosomal RNA", at positions 9 to 508 of the family's 1533-position model. The record is from RNAcentral.
GGGUUCGAUUCUGGCUCAGGAUGAACGCUGGCGGCGUGCUUAACACAUGCAAGUCGAACGAACCUUCGGGUUAGUGGCGGACGGGUGAGUAACGCGUGGGAAUCUGCCCUCAGGAGGGGGAUAACGGCCGGAAACGGCCGCUAAUACCCCAUAUGCCGAGAGGUGAAAUGAAUUUCGCCUGAGGAUGAGCCCGCGUCUGAUUAGCUAGUUGGUGAGGUAAGAGCUCACCAAGGCAUCGAUCAGUAGCUGGUCUGAGAGGAUGAUCAGCCACACUGGGACUGAGACACGGCCCAGACUCCUACGGGAGGCAGCAGUGGGGAAUUUUCCGCAAUGGGCGAAAGCCUGACGGAGCAACGCCGCGUGAGGGAUGAAGGCCUCUGGGCUGUAAACCUCUUUUAUCAAGGAAGAAGAUCUGACGGUACUUGAUGAAUAAGCCACGGCUAAUUCCGUGC